CUGCCCUCAAGCACGGCUUGUGUGUUGGGCCCCCGUCCCGGUUAAACAUUAGCCCCGGGACGGGCCCGAAAGGCAGCGGCGGCACCGUGUCCGGUCCUCGAGCGUAUGGGGCUCUGUCACCCGCUCGUGUAGGUCCGGCCGGCGGCCAGCCCGACUUUUCAACCAAUCUUUUUUGGAUUUUUAACCA
RNAcentral lists this unclassified non-coding RNA (187 nucleotides) under uncultured Aspergillus. RNAcentral's name for it is "sequence contains ITS2". The record is from RNAcentral. Lineage: Eukaryota; Fungi; Ascomycota; Eurotiomycetes; Eurotiales; Aspergillaceae.